This 89-nucleotide ribosomal RNA is filed under the name Klebsiella pneumoniae subsp. pneumoniae KPNIH18. RNAcentral's name for it is "partial 23S ribosomal RNA". It matches the Rfam family "Bacterial large subunit ribosomal RNA", at positions 2839 to 2925 of the family's 2925-position model. The record is from RNAcentral. Lineage: Bacteria; Pseudomonadati; Pseudomonadota; Gammaproteobacteria; Enterobacterales; Enterobacteriaceae.
UGAAGACGACGACGUUGAUAGGCCGGGUGUGUAAGCGCAGCGAUGCGUUGAGCUAACCGGUACUAAUGAACCGUGAGGCUUAACCUUAC